UACAUGGGGUGCAAACGUUGUUCGGAAUUAUUGGGCGUAAAGCGCGCGUAGGCGGUUACUCAAGUCGGAUGUGAAAGCCCUCGGCUUAACUGAGGAAGUGCACCCGAAACUGAGUAGCUAGAGUACUAAAGAGGGUCGCGGAAUUCCCGGUGUAGAGGUGAAAUUCGUAGAUAUCGGGAGGAACACCGGUGGCGAAGGCGGCGACCUGGGUAGAUACUGACGCUGAGGCGCGAAAGCGUGGGGAGCAAACAGG
Molecule: ribosomal RNA, 253 nt
Filed under: uncultured bacterium
Lineage: Bacteria
Description: partial 16S ribosomal RNA
Rfam family: Bacterial small subunit ribosomal RNA
Source: RNAcentral